RNAcentral lists this ribosomal RNA (253 nucleotides) under uncultured prokaryote. RNAcentral's name for it is "partial 16S ribosomal RNA". It matches the Rfam family "Bacterial small subunit ribosomal RNA", at positions 524 to 776 of the family's 1533-position model. The record is from RNAcentral.
UACGUAGGGUGCGAGCGUUAAUCGGAAUUACUGGGCGUAAAGCGCACGUAGGCGGCUUUGUAAGUUAGAGGUGAAAGCCCGGGGCUCAACUCCGGAAUUGCCUUUAAGACUGCAUCGCUAGAACGUCGGAGAGGUAUGUGGAAUUCCGAGUGUAGAGGUGAAAUUCGUAGAUAUUCGGAAGAACACCAGUGGCGAAGGCGACUUACUGGACACAUAUUGACGCUGAGGUGCGAAAGCGUGGGGAGCAAACAGG